GGACCUGACUGCUAUCGGAUUGAUACUAAGCCAUGCUAGUCUUUGUAGUAAUACAAGGCAUACGGCUCAGUAACGCGUAGUCAACCUACCCUAUGGACGGGGAUAAUCUCGGGAAACUGAGCAUAAUGCCCGGUAGACCACUUCUCCUGGAAUGGUUAGUGGUUAAAAUGAUUCGUCGCCAUAGGAUGGGACUGCGGCCUAUCAGCUUGUUGGUGAGGUAAUGGCCCACCAAGGCGAUUACAGGUACGGGCUCUGAGAGGAGAAGCCCGGAGAUGGGUACUGAGACAAGGACCCAGGCCCUAUGGGGCGCAGCAGGCGAGAAAACUUUGCAAUGUGCGAAAGCACGACAAGGUUAAUCCGAGUGAUUUCUGCUAAAGGAAUCUUUUGUUAGUUCUAAAUAUACUAGUGAAUAAGGGGUGGGCAAGUUCUGGUGU
This 434-nucleotide ribosomal RNA is filed under the name uncultured archaeon. Its description in RNAcentral is "bacterial SSU rRNA". It matches the Rfam family "Archaeal small subunit ribosomal RNA", at positions 19 to 458 of the family's 1478-position model. The record is from RNAcentral.